This is a long non-coding RNA of Bos taurus (domestic cattle), 613 nucleotides long. The record is from Ensembl. NCBI's taxonomy places the organism in Eukaryota, Metazoa, Chordata, Mammalia, Artiodactyla, Bovidae.
CUGAUGUCAGGAGAACAAGAUUUUCCAAGGAUGGAGUCGGGCGGCGCUUAUCAGCGAUGCUGACGGUCCACGGCUGCGUUCGCUUGUUAGGGCUCAUAUCACAGAGCACCAGGGGGCUUCCCAGGGGGCGCUGGUGGUAAAGAAUCCGCUGGCCAAUCCAGGAGACCUAAGAGAAGCGGCUCUGAUCCCUGGGCCGGGAAGAUCCCCUGGAGGGCACGGCAGUCCACUCCAGUACUCUCGUCUAGAGAAUCCCAUGGACAGAAGAGCCUGGUGGCUGCAGUCACAAAAAACUCAGACGUGACUUAGUGACUAAACAACAAAAGGAAAUGCGGGCAUUAGAUAGUCCUUGGCUGGCAUUUCGAUCGCACGGCAUACACUCUCUCAUCACUGCAACAGGGUCACUUACUAAAUACAUCUAAGAGGAACUCUGACAGUCCUGAGAAAUCUGACCACGUGACUCUGGCACAACACAGAUGCUUAGUGACGACAUUCCAGCAGACUACCCACAAAGCUGUGUUUGACUAAGAAGACAUCAUCCUGUGAGACCUUCUCAGGAAAUUACUAAAGAAGGCUGAGCCCUGAAGAACUGAUGCUUUCAAAUCAUGGCGCUGGA